ACGAACGCUGGCGGCGUGCUUCACACAUGCAAGUCGCACGGAAAGGCCCUGCUUGCAGGGUCCUCGAGUGGCGAACGGGUGAGUAACACGUGGGUGAUCUGCCCUGCACUUCGGGAUAAGCCUGGGAAACUGGGUCUAAUACCGGAUAGGAGCCAUUUUUAGUGUGAUGGUUGGAAAGUUUUUUCGGUGUAGGAUGAGCUCGCGGCCUAUCAGCUUGUUGGUGGGGUAAUGGCCUACCAAGGCGGCGACGGGUAGCCGGCCUGAGAGGGUGGACGGCCACAUUGGGACUGAGAUACGGCCCAGACUCCUACGGGAGGCAGCAGUGGGGAAUAUUGCACAAUGGGCGCAAGCCUGAUGCAGCGACGCCGCGUGGGGGAUGACGGCCUUCGGGUUGUAAACGCCUUUCGCUAGGGACGAAGCUUUUUGUGACGGUACCUAGAGAAGAAGCACCGGCUAACUACGUG
RNAcentral lists this ribosomal RNA (464 nucleotides) under uncultured bacterium. RNAcentral describes it as "partial 16S ribosomal RNA". It matches the Rfam family "Bacterial small subunit ribosomal RNA", at positions 29 to 507 of the family's 1533-position model. The record is from RNAcentral.